ACUCCCACAUCUCACCUCAGACGUGCCGCCGCUCUUCUCGCCUCAGAUGCACCGCCGCCCUCCUCGCCUCUCCCUGUCCCGUCCCCAACUGGCACUUCUCGUCUGUGCCCGCCGCGACCGAGCUUGGCGGCCGCUGGAGUCGUGCACGCGCACGCCUUGCCUGCUGGCGGGCGGCACAUGAACCACCAGAUCUGGUGCGGGCGGCUCCUCCGUGUCCCAGCUGCCGCAUUCGGAGGGAAGGGAGACGAGAUGCCGAGCGCCAUGCAGCCGCCCCACUCUGCUCUCGCGUCCUCGUCACUGCGCAACUAAUGCUCCGGCCUCCACACCUCUCCCUCUCUUUCUCCUCAGAUCUGCGCGCUGCUCCCUCUCGCUCAUCGAGGGCCACCGUCUCGCUCGACCUCGCCGCCGCCGCGACGGCCCUCGCGUGGCAGUCAUCUGGGCUCGGCGCGGCCUUCCGCGCGCCCUGCAGCCACUGGCGGGCUCCGGACGCAGAGGCGUGCUGUGGUCGUGGCUACCUCCUGCUAAGGCCGGCGCGGAGGAGGUUGUGCUGCAGCCCAUCAGGGAGAUCUCUGGCACUGUCAAGCUGCUGAGCUCCAUGUCGAUCUCCUACCGAGGUGAGGAAACUCUUCCUCUCUCCGUUUGUCUGUAGAUUGAAUGUGUGGGAGAUGAUGGGGAUGAGCAGGACGGCUUGCAGAUGAUGAAGGAUUUGAAUCUAGUCUUCCACGAUGCUAGCAACCUAUUCGAUCUAAUGCUGGAAUGAUUAUGGAAGAGAAGGUCCAAUGGAUGCAAAGAUGAAAACUCGAGUGUAAUAACUAGCUAUUCAAUGUGCUUCUCAAUUUUAAACCUAAGAUGUAAUUUUUUGACAUGAUGUAACUUGAGAUACUUGCUCUAAAUAUAUACUAUAAUUUCUGGGCUGGAACUGUUGUUUUCAUUUA
Molecule: long non-coding RNA, 935 nt
Organism: Panicum virgatum (switchgrass)
Lineage: Eukaryota; Viridiplantae; Streptophyta; Magnoliopsida; Poales; Poaceae
Exons: 2
Source: RefSeq, a predicted model, not a curated record